This 423-nucleotide long non-coding RNA is filed under the name Sorghum bicolor (sorghum). RNAcentral's name for it is "long non-coding RNA (SBIC_LNC017252)". Lineage: Eukaryota; Viridiplantae; Streptophyta; Magnoliopsida; Poales; Poaceae. The record is from RNAcentral.
CGGCGCCUCUUCUUCUCUCUCCACACCUGACUCGGUGCUACGGUCUUCUCAGGAUCAUCUUGUUCAAGUUGUAUGUCUUCAGACCUUACCACUUCUCCUUCGUAGUCUGCCCAUCCGUCCUUGAUGAUUUGCCUCCUCUGGUUGCGGUUGCGUCGUCUUCUUCUUGUCCUGACCUGCUUAGAAUCUUCAACUAUAUAGUUAGGGUCAGUAAAAUAGCGGCAUACCUUCUCUGAGGGGAAGUGCAUAUGGACUUCUCCAGUUCCAAUGUAGAUGAUUGCUUUAACGGUGCUGAGGAACGGUCUCCCAAGGAUGAUGGGUGGAUAGUACUCAUCUUCUCCCAUGUCAAUAACCUGAAAGUCUGUAUGGACAAAAUAAUCGUCUAUUUUGACCGGGACAUUAGUUACUAUUCCUUCAAUCUUUCGG